AUGGGCGGCGGCAGCGUGAGCUCCACCACCGUGUCGCCGGACGCUGUGAGCGCCGCUGGCGAUGGAGGCGCGGCCCCGGUCGUCGCAGUAGCCCAGGCGAGCCGUAGCUUGCUGGAACGCCGGUUCCCGCAGGAGGUGUGGCGGCAGGGAGAGUCGGAGCUCCGUCGAGAGGCGAGCCAUGUCCUGAUCUCCCGCACUCCGGCCAUGGAUGCGCUGGAGCUGCGCUUCGGGCGGCACGUGCUUCUGGCAACUGCGGUCGGAGAUGGCGAGCAGACAGUGACGCCGGCAGCCAUGCUGGCGAUCUUGCAGCAACAUUGCGGGGUGGUGCCAUCCGAGGUGGUCGUCGAGUUCGCGUGCCCACCACACGACCUGUGGCUGACCUUCUCGACGGAGGAGAAGUGCUCUGAGGUGCUCCUUUCGUCAAUGAAGAUCAAGUGUUGCCGGCGUUGGAUUUAG
This 456-nucleotide ribosomal RNA is filed under the name Triticum aestivum (bread wheat). RNAcentral describes it as "partial small subunit ribosomal RNA". The record is from RNAcentral. Lineage: Eukaryota; Viridiplantae; Streptophyta; Magnoliopsida; Poales; Poaceae.